This 969-nucleotide long non-coding RNA is filed under the name Monodelphis domestica (gray short-tailed opossum). RNAcentral describes it as "lncRNA (ENSMODG00000047283.1)". The record is from RNAcentral. Lineage: Eukaryota; Metazoa; Chordata; Mammalia; Didelphimorphia; Didelphidae.
UCAUUAAGGCACAUUUAGUUCUAAAAUUUAAAGCUAUAGAAAAAUGGAGUGAUUUGCCCAGGAAGAGGCAAGUUUCUUGAAUCUGAAGACUGGGCAAGCCCUUGUCAGAUAUAUUAACCACUAGAUUCUUUUGUGAUUCUUAUCUUAUUAUUUCUUUUUGUUUCUGCUCAAAAAGCACCUGAAUUCCCUUCUGACUCUCAAAUCUUGUGAUUCUGUUCAACACCAACCUUCCAUUUCAUUUGCAGAUCUGCCUUAAUGUUUAAAUAGCUCGCAUGGGCAUAGGAGACCCUGCUCGUUUCACCUCCCAGCUGGAAGGAUUGACCAUCUCUCCCCAAGCCAGGAUAUUAAUUUGGGGAGCUGUAUCAUGAGAAGCUUGCAGCCAUCUGUUUAUUGAUUCUAGCACAGUUUCAACAGAGCCAACCCUGUCUGUUCCUCACACUGUAACAAGGCCUCAUUUCUUUGUUUACAGUUGCAGAGACUCGCAAGGUCACAGCAGGAAGUCAGCAAGGAAAUGAACCUCUUCCAGCUGGUGGAUUAAUUUCAGUGUUCCAAAAGUCUUAAUGCAGCUUUAAGCUUAGUGGCUUAAAACCAAGAGAUGAUCAGCUGAUGAAGGAGUGAGGAAAGGAAUAUACGUGGAGAACCAAGAGAACAAGAAUGGUAACAAAUGCCAGAGAAGAAAGGAGAAGAAAGAAUAAGGAGGAAAAGGAGGAAGAGGAAAAGGAGAAGACUUUGGUGACAGCAACUGGGGAUUACACCAGGUACAAUUUCUGACAUAGUAGAUGCUUAUUUAUGGAAUGAUUACAGUAAUACCAGGGCAUUUCAGAAACCUCAUUUCCAGUUUUGCCAUUGCAGUAGAGGAUGGCUGAUAAUCCCUUGUUGAUUCAGCUUCUCUAACAGAAAGAGAGGGAGAAAGGAACAUUACUUACAGCUAGGACACAUUUAUAGGCUAUUUUGUUCCAGGAGAAGAAA